Empidonax traillii (willow flycatcher) is the source of this 720-nucleotide long non-coding RNA. RefSeq lists it as uncharacterized. The transcript is spliced from 5 exons. The record is from RefSeq and is a predicted model, not a curated record. NCBI's taxonomy places the organism in Eukaryota, Metazoa, Chordata, Aves, Passeriformes, Tyrannidae.
UACUUCAGAAUGGCCCUGAGACCAAGGAAUAUAGGAAAUGAAUGAAAACACAGAAAUAUUGAAAGGCCAAAAAGACAGGAAGAAUUCAUGCAGAAACUCAAGUGCUUCUGAUACCAAGAUUAACAAUGAGAUUUGUCCUGCUGCUUCUCAGGCCUGUUAGAAGUGUACUGAAUAAUUUGCUAGGAGUCUCUGAUAUGAUGUAUGCAAUCAUCUGUAGAUACCUCCUUAGUGAUGCAACUAGAGAAUAGGCUCACUGGCUGCUUCAGAGUAACAAGAGGAUAAAUUUAAUACUGAUCUUCUAUCCACACAAUGACACCUUUGAGGGUCUGAGAGAAAGUUUCAGUCAAAUCCACAUGCAUUAAGGGAACAGAAGUCUGAGAGGCCUGUAAACCUCACAGUACACCUGGAAAGGUGAUGAGAAUAUAACGUUGGACAGCACAGGAGGAGGAAAGAAUACCUUCACUGCACUCACAGCCACUGAAAUACCCAAGUGCCUUUGCAGAGUCUGAUGAUAGAGCAAUUCUUGUGAUAGCACACAGAUGCAAAAUGCACAGGUGGAAAUAUUGAAAAUACAUGGAUUUAUAUUGACUGAUUUCACAUUGCAGUGGAAAAGCAAAAAUCUGAGUAAAAAGAAAGCGAUAGUGAUGUUGCAAACAAAAGAUUAGUCAGCAAGUACUGACUCUGCAGCCACAGGUGGACUCUGUGUGAGAGUAAUCCAGA